CGCUGGCGGCAGGCUUAACACAUGCAAGUCGAACGAUGAUUAUCUAGCUUGCUAGAUAUGAUUAGUGGCGGACGGGUGAGUAACAUUUAGGAAUCUGCCUAGUAGUGGGGGAUAGCUCGGGGAAACUCGAAUUAAUACCGCAUACGACCUACGGGUGAAAGGGGGCGCAAGCUCUUGCUAUUAGAUGAGCCUAAAUCAGAUUAGCUAGUUGGUGGGGUAAAGGCCCACCAAGGCGACGAUCUGUAACUGGUCUGAGAGGAUGAUCAGUCACACCGGAACUGAGACACGGUCCGGACUCCUACGGGAGGCAGCAGUGGGGAAUAUUGGACAAUGGGGGCAACCCUGAUCCAGCCAUGCCGCGUGUGUGAAGAAGGCCUUUUGGUUGUAAAGCACUUUAAGCAGGGAGGAGAGGCUAAUGGUUAAUACCCAUUAGAUUAGACGUUACCUGCAGAAUAAGCACCGGCUAACUCUGUGCCAGCAGCCGCGGUAAUACAGAGGGUGCGAGCGUUAAUCGGAAUUACUGGGCGUAAAGCGAGUGUAGGUGGCUCAUUAAGUCACAUGUGAAAUCCCCGGGCUUAACCUGGGAACUGCAUGUGAUACUGGUGGUGCUAGAAUAUGUGAGAGGGAAGUAGAAUUCCAGGUGUAGCGGUGAAAUGCGUAGAGAUCUGGAGGAAUACCGAUGGCGAAGGCAGCUUCCUGGCAUAAUAUUGACACUGAGAUUCGAAAGCGUGGGUAGCAAACAGGAUUAGAUACCCUGGUAGUCCACGCCGUAAACGAUGUCUACUAGCCGUUGGGGUCCUUGAGACUUUAGUGGCGCAGUUAACGCGAUAAGUAGACCGCCUGGGGAGUACGGCCGCAAGGUUAAAACUCAAAUGAAUUGACGGGGGCCCGCACAAGCGGUGGAGCAUGUGGUUUAAUUCGAUGCAACGCGAAGAACCUUACCUGGUCUUGACAUAGUGAGAAUCCUGCAGAGAUGCGGGAGUGCCUUCGGGAAUUCACAUACAGGUGCUGCAUGGCUGUCGUCAGCUCGUGUCGUGAGAUGUUGGGUUAAGUCCCGCAACGAGCGCAACCCUUUUCCUUAUUUGCCAGCGGGUUAAGCCGGGAACUUUAAGGAUACUGCCAGUGACAAACUGGAGGAAGGCGGGGACGACGUCAAGUCAUCAUGGCCCUUACGACCAGGGCUACACACGUGCUACAAUGGUAGGUACAGAGGGUUGCUACACAGCGAUGUGAUGCUAAUCUCAAAAAGCCUAUCGUAGUCCGGAUUGGAGUCUGCAACUCGACUCCAUGAAGUCGGAAUCGCUAGUAAUCGCAGAUCAGAAUGCUGCGGUGAAUACGUUCCCGGGCCUUGUACACACCGCCCGUCACACCAUGGGAGUCUAUUGCACCAGAAGUAGGUAGCCUAACGCAAGAGGGCGCU
Molecule: ribosomal RNA, 1420 nt
Filed under: Faucicola osloensis
Lineage: Bacteria; Pseudomonadati; Pseudomonadota; Gammaproteobacteria; Moraxellales; Moraxellaceae
Description: Moraxella osloensis 16S ribosomal RNA
Rfam family: Bacterial small subunit ribosomal RNA
Source: RNAcentral